This is a non-coding RNA of Picea glauca (white spruce), 73 nucleotides long. The record is from Rfam. Lineage: Eukaryota; Viridiplantae; Streptophyta; Pinopsida; Pinales; Pinaceae.
GCGGGGAUAGCUAAGUUGGGAGAGCAUCAGACUAAAGAUUUAAAGGUCGCGUGUUCGAUCCACGCUCAUUGCA